AUGUGUUCAAAUUGAUAGCAUGCCCAAUAACCAGAGGGAUCAUCAUGUAGAACAUCAAGGAGAUGUCAAAAACAUCAAAAAUAAUACACUUCGCAAUAAAAGAACCUCAUACAAAUCAUCAUAGAGAUCCGACUAAUACGAACAACAUACUUAAUAGAUAAAAGAACAAAUCAUUAUGGAGUUCGGAUAUCAUUCUUGACCAUAUGUAUG
This 210-nucleotide long non-coding RNA is filed under the name Carica papaya (papaya). RNAcentral describes it as "long non-coding RNA (CPAP_LNC014562)". Lineage: Eukaryota; Viridiplantae; Streptophyta; Magnoliopsida; Brassicales; Caricaceae. The record is from RNAcentral.